Molecule: long non-coding RNA, 435 nt
Filed under: Elaeis guineensis (African oil palm)
Lineage: Eukaryota; Viridiplantae; Streptophyta; Magnoliopsida; Arecales; Arecaceae
Description: long non-coding RNA (EGUI_LNC042920)
Source: RNAcentral
GUCGUGUAUAUUGGCUACAGUAGGUCCAUUAUAAAAAUAGGAUGUGCACCUAUAUGGGAUCUAUUGAUCUUGGUAGAUAGAGAGAGGUCCUAUGCAGUUCAUGAGAUUGAGUCUUAAAAUCUAUGGUCAUAGUAGGUGAAUGAUGAAAAAGAGUUUUCAUAAGGUUUCAUAUAGAAUCGAGUCGAUUAAAUUUGAUAUAUGACGGACGAACAGGUUUGACGAGUUAUCCUUGAUUUACAUUUUAUCAGGACCCAUGAUAGAAGAAUCGAACUAUACAGUAAUUACACCAAGAGAUUCAUUACUUUCAUUCUAUUGGAUUGCCACAACAUACUGCUAGAUAUUACUAGUGGAUUGUGAGACUCGUCGAGCGUCGUCUUAAUAAUCGAUGAUCCUUGAAGGGCAGAGUUGAAAUUAUUCCAACCCAUCGAAAGGAGU